AGAGUUUGAUCCUGGCUCAGGAUGAACGCUAGCGGCAGGCUUAAUACAUGCAAGUCGAACGGUAACGGAUCCAGCAAUGGAUGCCGACGAGUGGCGCACGGGUGAGUAACGCGUAUGCAACCUACCUUUAACUGGGGAAUAGCCCCGAGAAGUCGGGAUUAAUACCCCAUAGUAUCUACGGAUCGCAUGAUUUGUAAAUUAAAGUUUUUAACGGUUAAAGGUGGGCAUGCGUAACAUUAGCUAGUUGGUGAGGUAACGGCUCACCAAGGCUACGAUGUUUAGGGGUCCUGAGAGGGUGAUCCCCCACACUGGUACUGAGACACGGACCAGACUCCUACGGGAGGCAGCAGUAGGGAAUAUUGGGCAAUGGACGCAAGUCUGACCCAGCCAUGCCGCGUGCAGGAUUGACGGCCCUAUGGGUUGUAAACUGCUUUUCUGCAGGAAGAACUCCUUCUACGUGUAGGAGGUUGACGGUACUGUAGGAAUAAGCAUCGGCUAACUCCGUGCCAGCAGCCGCGGUAAUACGGAGGAUGCAAGCGUUAUCCGGAUUUAUUGGGUUUAAAGGGUGCGCAGGCGGACUAAUAAGUCAGAGGUGAAAUCCCACAGCUUAACUGUGGAACUGCCUUUGAUACUGUUAGUCUUGAGUGCAGUUGAGGUAGGCGGAAUGUGUUAUGUAGCGGUGAAAUGCUUAGAUAUGACACAGAACACCAAUCGUGAAGACAGCUUACCAAGCUGCUACUGACGCUCAUGCACGAAAGCGUGGGGAGCGAACAGGAUUAGAUACCCUGGUAGUCCACGCUGUAAACGAUGGACACUCGCUGUUGGCGAUACACAGUCAGCGGCUGAGCGAAAGUAUUAAGUGUCCCACCUGGGGAGUACGAUCGCAAGGUUGAAACUCAAAGGAAUUGACGGGGGCCCGCACAAGCGGAGGAGCAUGUGGUUUAAUUCGAUGAUACGCGAGGAACCUUACCUAGGCUUAAAUGUUGGACGAUCGUCCGGGAAACCGGUCCUUCCUUCGGGACGUCCAGCAAGGUGCUGCAUGGUUGUCGUCAGCUCGUGCCGUGAGGUGUCGGGUUAAGUCCCAUAACGAGCGCAACCCCUAUUCUUAGUUGCCAGCAUGUAAUGAUGGGGACUCUAAGGAAACUGCCUACGCAAGUAGUGAGGAAGGUGGGGAUGACGUCAAAUCAGCACGGCCCUUAUGCCUAGGGCUACACACGUGCUACAAUGGCCGGUACAGAGGGCAGCUACACAGUGAUGUGAUGCAAAUCUCGAAAACCGGUCUCAGUUCGGAUCGAAGUCUGCAACUCGACUUCGUGAAGUUGGAUUCGCUAGUAAUCGCGCAUCAGCCAUGGCGCGGUGAAUACGUUCCCGGGCCUUGUACACACCGCCCGUCAAGCCAUGGAAGCUUGGGGUACCUGAAGUUCGUGACCGUAAGGAGCGACCUAGGGUAAAACGAGUGACUGGGGCUAAGUCGGAACAAGGUA
RNAcentral lists this ribosomal RNA (1484 nucleotides) under metagenome. RNAcentral describes it as "bacterial SSU rRNA". It matches the Rfam family "Bacterial small subunit ribosomal RNA". The record is from RNAcentral.